RNAcentral lists this microRNA precursor (113 nucleotides) under Otolemur garnettii (small-eared galago). Its description in RNAcentral is "miRNA (ENSOGAG00000028057.1)". The record is from RNAcentral. Lineage: Eukaryota; Metazoa; Chordata; Mammalia; Primates; Galagidae.
UUAAAUUUCAAUUUCACAUGAACAACAAAUAAUUUUUAGUAUAAACAUGUGUCAUAUAAUAUUUGGGACAUACUUUUACUAAAAAAAUUGUUAUUUAUCUGAAAUUUAAAUUU